GACGAACGCUGGCGGCGUGCCUAAUACAUGCAAGUAGAACGCUGAAGGAGGAGCUUGCUCUUCUGGAUGAGUUGCGAACGGGUGAGUAACGCGUAGGUAACCUGCCUGGUAGCGGGGGAUAACUAUUGGAAACGAUAGCUAAUACCGCAUAACAGUAGAUGUUGCAUGACAUUUGCUUAAAAGGUGCAAUUGCAUCACUACCAGAUGGACCUGCGUUGUAUUAGCUAGUUGGUGGGGUAACGGCUCACCAAGGCGACGAUACAUAGCCGACCUGAGAGGGUGAUCGGCCACACUGGGACUGAGACACGGCCCAGACUCCUACGGGAGGCAGCAGUAGGGAAUCUUCGGCAAUGGACGGAAGUCUGACCGAGCAACGCCGCGUGAGUGCAGAAGGUUUUCGGAUCGUAAAGCUCUGUUGUAAGAGAAGAACGAGUGUGAGAGUGGAAAGUUCACACUGUGACGGUAUCUUACCAGAAAGGGACGGCUAACUACGUG
Molecule: ribosomal RNA, 495 nt
Filed under: uncultured bacterium
Lineage: Bacteria
Description: partial 16S ribosomal RNA
Rfam family: Bacterial small subunit ribosomal RNA
Source: RNAcentral